Molecule: ribosomal RNA, 556 nt
Filed under: Salmonella enterica subsp. enterica serovar Infantis
Lineage: Bacteria; Pseudomonadati; Pseudomonadota; Gammaproteobacteria; Enterobacterales; Enterobacteriaceae
Also listed under: 3 other names
Description: bacterial SSU rRNA
Rfam family: Bacterial small subunit ribosomal RNA
Source: RNAcentral
AAAUUGAAGAGUUUGAUCAUGGCUCAGAUUGAACGCUGGCGGCAGGCCUAACACAUGCAAGUCGAACGGUAACAGGAAGCAGCUUGCUGCUUCGCUGACGAGUGGCGGACGGGUGAGUAAUGUCUGGGAAACUGCCUGAUGGAGGGGGAUAACUACUGGAAACGGUGGCUAAUACCGCAUAACGUCGCAAGACCAAAGAGGGGGACCUUCGGGCCUCUUGCCAUCAGAUGUGCCCAGAUGGGAUUAGCUUGUUGGUGAGGUAACGGCUCACCAAGGCGACGAUCCCUAGCUGGUCUGAGAGGAUGACCAGCCACACUGGAACUGAGACACGGUCCAGACUCCUACGGGAGGCAGCAGUGGGGAAUAUUGCACAAUGGGCGCAAGCCUGAUGCAGCCAUGCCGCGUGUAUGAAGAAGGCCUUCGGGUUGUAAAGUACUUUCAGCGGGGAGGAAGGUGUUGCGGUUAAUAACCGCAGCAAUUGACGUUACCCGCAGAAGAAGCACCGGCUAACUCCGUGCCAGCAGCCGCGGUAAUACGGAGGGUGCAAGCGUUAAUC